This 253-nucleotide ribosomal RNA is filed under the name uncultured bacterium. RNAcentral describes it as "partial 16S ribosomal RNA". It matches the Rfam family "Bacterial small subunit ribosomal RNA", at positions 524 to 776 of the family's 1533-position model. The record is from RNAcentral.
GACGAAGGUGGCGAGCGUUGUUCGGAAUCACUGGGCAUAAAGCGCACGUAGGCGGCGACGUAAGUCGGGUGUGAAAUCCCUCGGCCCAACCGAGGAACUGCGCCCGAUACUGCGUUGCUUGAGGACCAGAGGGGUGCAUGGAAUUUCCGGUGGAGCGGUGAAAUGCGUUGAUAUCGGAAGGAACUCCGGCGGCGAAAGCGGUGCACUGGCUGGUUUCUGACGCUGAGGUGCGAAAGCCAGGGGAGCAAACGGG